This 305-nucleotide ribosomal RNA is filed under the name uncultured bacterium. RNAcentral's name for it is "bacterial SSU rRNA". It matches the Rfam family "Bacterial small subunit ribosomal RNA", at positions 338 to 659 of the family's 1533-position model. The record is from RNAcentral.
CCUACGGGAGGCAGCAGUCGGGAAUAUUGCGCAAUGGAGGAAACUCUGACGCAGUGACGCCGCGUGCAGGAAGAAGGUUUUCGGAUUGUAAACUGCUUUAGACAGGGAAGAAACAAGACAGUACCUGAAGAAAAAGCUCCGGCUAACUACGUGCCAGCAGCCGCGGUAAUACGUAGGGAGCGAGCGUUGUCCGGAAUUACUGGGUGUAAAGGGAGCGUAGGCGGGACGGCAAGUCAGAUGUGAAAACUGAGGGCUCAACCUUCAGACUGCAUUUGAAACUGCUGUUCUUGAGUGAAGUAGAGGUA